CAACAAGGACCUCUUCAAUCUCUUUUUCCUGACAGUAUCCAUUUGGAUUUCGAUACUUUUCAAGAAUAAAUAGCACUGGAAAUUUCAGUGCUUCCAACUUUGCAGAAAUGUGGGAUGGCCAAGUCUCAGAGUGCUAAGCUUCAAGGAUCAUGUCAGCACCAGCUCAAAGUUCCAGUUUUCUGAACAUUGUAUCCUGUGAGCAAGAGACUCUGUCCAACCUCUCUUCAGUCAAGUCUGGACCCAAUAAGACAGCAGUCUCAAGGACAAUUAAUGAUAGAUCAUGCCAAUCCACAUUGAAAUAGUGACAACAUUCAAGUCUUCAAGCAGUACAUUUCCAGUUUCUCGAACUGACUCAGUCCCAUGUCUUCCGUCAAGUGUGGACUCAUUACUGUUGUUCAACCAGACAAGCGGCCCUGAUUGAUGUUUAUGUCAUCAUUGAUUAUCCUGAAUUUAUAUGGACACAUUUUAUUUCCAAGAUCAACACGUCUUUGUGAGUACACUGGUCAAGUUAUUGGAUCAGCUCAGACUGUUUUAACACAGUGCCUGUGUGCAGAAUCUGUUUCUUUAAAAUCUAAUAAUUAUGGUUUGUGCCUUGAUUUACUAUAGACAGUAUUUAUUAGUUAAUUUAGCAAUUCCAAUAACCUGACUGAUUACUGUAAAAUCUGUGGCAAACAACUGUAAUGCCUUUUGUAUUUUACCAUAUUUU
Molecule: long non-coding RNA, 706 nt
Organism: Labeo rohita (rohu)
Lineage: Eukaryota; Metazoa; Chordata; Actinopteri; Cypriniformes; Cyprinidae
Exons: 4
Source: RefSeq, a predicted model, not a curated record